GACGAACGCUGGCGGCGUGCUUAACACAUGCCAGUCGAACGGAAAGGCCCUGCUUUUGUUGGAUGCUCGAGUGGCGAACGAGUGAGUAACACGUGAGUAACCUGCCCUUGACGUUUGGAUAACUUCAGGAAACUGGGGCUAAUACCGGAUAGGAGCUCCUGCUGCAUGGUGGGGGUUGGAAAGUUUCGGCGGUUGGGGAUGGACUCGCGGCUUAUCAGCUUGUUGGUGGGGUAGUGGCUUACCAAGGCUUUGAGGGGUAGCCGGCCUGAGGGGGUGACCGGCAACAUGGGAACUGAGUUACGGCCCGGACUCCUAGGGGAGGCAGCAGUGGGGAAUAUUGAACAAGGGGCGGAAGCCGGAUGCAGCAACGCCGCGGGCGGGAUGACGGCCUUCGGUUUGUAAACCGCUUUCGCCUGUGACGAAGCGUGAGUGACGGUAAUGGGUAAAGAAGCACCGGCUAACUACGUG
Molecule: ribosomal RNA, 468 nt
Filed under: uncultured bacterium
Lineage: Bacteria
Description: partial 16S ribosomal RNA
Rfam family: Bacterial small subunit ribosomal RNA
Source: RNAcentral